Molecule: ribosomal RNA, 325 nt
Filed under: uncultured eukaryote
Lineage: Eukaryota
Description: partial 18S ribosomal RNA
Rfam family: Eukaryotic small subunit ribosomal RNA
Source: RNAcentral
CCCUUAGAUGUUCUGGGCCGCACGCGCGCUACACUGACUGGUGCAACAAGUGUCGCUCCUUGGCCGAUAGGCCUGGGCAAUCUUUGAACGCCAGUCGUGAUGGGGAUAGAUUCUUGCAAUUUUUGAUCUUCAACGAGGAAUUCCUAGUAAACACGAGUCAUCAACUCGCAUUGAUUACGUCCCUGCCCUUUGUACACACCGCCCGUCGCACCUACCGAUUGAAUGGUCCGGUGAACCCUCCGGAUCGGCUCGCGCCAACGCAAGUUGAGCAAAGGCCGAGAAGUUGGGUAAACCUUACCAUUUAGAGGAAGGUGAAGUCGUAACA